UACGAAGGGGGCUAGCGGUGCUCGGAUUUACUGGGCGUAAAGGGCGCGUAGGCGGCGGACACAGUCAGACGUGAAAUUCCUGGGCUCAACCUGGGGGCUGCGUUUGAUACAUGUCUGCUUGAGUUCGGAAGAGGGUCGUGGAAUUCCCAGUGUAGAGGUGAAAUUCGUAGAUAUUGGGAAGAACACCGGUGGCGAAGGCGGCGACCUGGUCCGAUACUGACGCUGAGGCGCGAAAGCGUGGGGAGCAAACAGG
Molecule: ribosomal RNA, 253 nt
Filed under: uncultured bacterium
Lineage: Bacteria
Description: partial 16S ribosomal RNA
Rfam family: Bacterial small subunit ribosomal RNA
Source: RNAcentral